CAGCCGCCGCGGUAAUACGAGGGGAGCUAGCGUUAUUCGGAAUUACUGGGCGUAAAGCGCACGUAGGCGGCUUUGUAAGUUAGAGGUGAAAGCCCAGAGCUCAACUCUGGAAUUGCCUUUAAGACUGCAUCGCUUGAAUCCAGGAGAGGUGAGUGGAAUUCCGAGUGUAGAGGUGAAAUUCGUAGAUAUUCGGAAGAACACCAGUGGCGAAGGCGGCUCACUGGACUGGUAUUGACGCUGAGGUGCGAAAGCGUGGGGAGCAAACAGGAUUAGAUACCCGGGUAGUCCCUGUCUCUUAUAC
RNAcentral lists this ribosomal RNA (301 nucleotides) under uncultured bacterium. Its description in RNAcentral is "partial 16S ribosomal RNA". It matches the Rfam family "Bacterial small subunit ribosomal RNA", at positions 509 to 807 of the family's 1533-position model. The record is from RNAcentral.